This 74-nucleotide transfer RNA is filed under the name Pseudonocardia sp. Its description in RNAcentral is "tRNA-Gly". It matches the Rfam family "tRNA". Rfam says of the family: Transfer RNA (tRNA) molecules are approximately 80 nucleotides in length. Their secondary structure includes four short double-helical elements and three loops (D, anti-codon, and T loops). RNAcentral also lists the same sequence under 6 other names. The record is from RNAcentral. Lineage: Bacteria; Bacillati; Actinomycetota; Actinomycetes; Pseudonocardiales; Pseudonocardiaceae.
GCGGGCGUAGCUCAAUGGUAGAGCCCCAGCCUUCCAAGCUGGCCAUGCCGGUUCGAUCCCGGUCGCCCGCUCCA